GACGAGUGGCGGAUGGGUGAGUAACGCGUAUGCAACCUACCUCGUGUCGAGAAAAAGUCGACUGAAAAGUCGAUUAAAGUUUCGUAGUGUACAGGCUACGCAUGUAGCUUGUAUGAUAGACGCAAGUUGGCGCGAGAUGGGCAUGCGUAUCAUUAGCUAGUUGGUAGGGUAACGGCCUACCAAGGCGACGAUGAUUAGGGGUCCUGAGAGGGAGGUCCCCCACACUGGGACUGAGACACGGCCCAGACUCC
This 251-nucleotide ribosomal RNA is filed under the name uncultured bacterium. RNAcentral describes it as "partial 16S ribosomal RNA". It matches the Rfam family "Bacterial small subunit ribosomal RNA", at positions 90 to 339 of the family's 1533-position model. The record is from RNAcentral.